This is a non-coding RNA of Triticum aestivum (bread wheat), 113 nucleotides long. The record is from Rfam. NCBI's taxonomy places the organism in Eukaryota, Viridiplantae, Streptophyta, Magnoliopsida, Poales, Poaceae.
CUACUACUCCCUCCGUCCGGAAAUACUUGUCAUUAAAAUGGAUAAAAAUACGUCUCGAGACAUCUCCUUUUUUUAUCUUGAUGAUAAGUAUUUCCGGACGGAGGGAGUACUAC